RNAcentral lists this transfer RNA (73 nucleotides) under Mycetomoellerius zeteki. RNAcentral describes it as "Trachymyrmex zeteki tRNA". It matches the Rfam family "tRNA". From Rfam's summary of the family: Transfer RNA (tRNA) molecules are approximately 80 nucleotides in length. Lineage: Eukaryota; Metazoa; Arthropoda; Insecta; Hymenoptera; Formicidae. The record is from Rfam by way of RNAcentral.
GUCGCGGUGGUCUAAAGGCUUAGGACGCUCGCACGGAAUGCAAGAGAUCCGGGUUCGACUCCCGGCCAAGGCA